UUCAAGAGCUCCCCCUUGUCCAGUCAAACGCCAAUCCCUUCUGAUCUCUGAAGCUAAGCAGGGUUGGGCCUGGUUAGUAUUUGGGUGGUAUACAUUCUUUUUGCCAUACAGUUUUGAAGACUGAGUGAUCUUCAGU
Molecule: ribosomal RNA, 136 nt
Filed under: Mesocricetus auratus (golden hamster)
Lineage: Eukaryota; Metazoa; Chordata; Mammalia; Rodentia; Cricetidae
Source: RNAcentral